GUAGGUGGCAAGCGUUGUCCGGGAAUUAUUGGGGCGUAAAGCGCGCGCAGGCGGUUCGUUUAAGUCUGAUGUGAAAGCCCACGGGCUCAACCGUGGAGGGUCAUUGGAAACUGGAGAACUUGAGUACAGAAGAGGAAAGCGGAAUUCCACGUGUAGCGGUGAAAUGCGUAGAGAUGUGGAGGAACACCAGUGGCGAAGGCGGCUUUCUGGUCUGUAACUGACGCUGAGGCGCGAAAGCGUGGGGAGCAAACAGGAUUAGAUACCCUGGUAGUCCACGCCGUAAACGAUGAGUGCUAAGUGUUAGGGGGUUUCCGCCCCUUAGUGCUGCAGCUAACGCAUUAAGCACUCCGCCUGGGGAGUACGGCCGCAAAUGCUG
Molecule: ribosomal RNA, 376 nt
Filed under: uncultured organism
Description: partial 16S ribosomal RNA
Rfam family: Bacterial small subunit ribosomal RNA
Source: RNAcentral